This is a long non-coding RNA of Bombus huntii, 1157 nucleotides long. RefSeq lists it as uncharacterized. Lineage: Eukaryota; Metazoa; Arthropoda; Insecta; Hymenoptera; Apidae. The transcript has 4 exons. The record is from RefSeq and is a predicted model, not a curated record.
AGAAUUUAUUUCGAGAAUAAUUAACGAAAGAUAUAAUACGAGUCGUGCCUUUAGCCCUUACACAGUUCAAAAUUCAUAACACACUGAAAAGAAAUUUUAUUUUCAUUUUAUUCGUCAUUAAUAGAUAGCACGAACAGUGGCACUUUGCAUUCUGUUUUAUGGAAUUAGUCGGCAUGGCUUUUGAUAUCGAGAUUUAUUAAUAUAAUGGGUGGUUGGUUGAUUAAAUACUUUUCUGAUCCGAAAUACAGUCGGGAACAAAACUAAGUGGAUUAGUGGAGAAAAUGUAAAAAUUCAUUUCAAUCAUUUGCUGAACUAUCUGCAUAUUAUUAGAAGGAAAUAUAAUAAAUAAAACUCAAGUAUAUGAGGCUGAUACUAAUUUGAUUAUACUUUCUUCACAUCUAUUUCCAUUAACUAUAGCAGCUUAUUUUUAUCCCCGAUUGUACUUGUAAAUUGUAAAUAUUUUAUAAUUUGUAUAUAAAUUCCCACAUUUACUUCAAAUUUUGUACGAGAUCGAUAUAAUACCACAAUGGAAUCGCGACAGUCAAGUUUCAUUUCAUAUUUCAUUUUUCAUCGCGUUUCAUUUUUAAAACCUGUCUAUGCAUGUUAAAAUACAUUCGCGAGUCUGUGUGUUUUCGACGUGAAUCAAAUAUAUCUGUCAGCACAGAUUCAAGUACUGUACCGUAUGAUUUCGCUUUCUCAACAACCUUGUCCAUCAUCCCGUUGGAAACGUACCAUCUUGAACAGAGCAAAUACGAGUGAUAUGGAUCGAUAAGUAAAUUUGCAUAAAUCUCAAAGCGCAAGUUGAGAAUUCGAAUAAUCGAACGAUUAGGAGUUUACUUACCGGGCGCUCUCGGGAAGAAUCCACGGUGUGAUAGCGACAGAUAACAGCGGUAUGGCAGUAACUAAUAGAACAUGGAAGAUUUAUCGAGUGAAACCCGUUAUUAUUAAUAUGGAGCAAUUGAUGACGAGCCGAAUGAACGAUACCAUCAACAUAAUUGUAGGAUAAUUUUAUCGAACGCCAGUCCAGUGAGAAACCUACAGACGGCGAAUGACCAAAAACUAUUUGCGCUGGCAGUGAAAAUGGAGGCAAAAAGGGCGAUACCAUUGCAGAACAUUAAAGCUGGGAUACGACCCUUGUGAUCGGCGAUCCAACCGAC